CAAGAGUGAAAUUCUGUCUCAAAAAAAAAAAAGAAAAAAAAAAGGAGUAGAAGAUGACAAACAUUUGAUCUUAAAGAGAUUUUAAUGUGUAUUAAGGAGUAAACGUGGAAUGACCAGAGAGAGUAAACCACUGGGUCAUAGGGCGUAUAUACAUAUACAUACAUACAGCUUUAGUAAAUAUUGUCAAAUAAUUUUGGAAGUGAACUAAUUUAUACCCCCGUCAGCAACUUAUGAGAGUUCCAGUUGUUUGACAUUCUUGGUAACACUUGCCUGAAGAACCAGCUGAAUAGAGAAAGAAGGCAAAGAUUUGAGGCAUGAGGGAGGAGACAUGGCAGUUACUGCUAGCUUAAAUAUAGAGGGAACCUGAAAGCAGUUCUAGGAGCUAGAAAUCUUUUUCUGACACCCAGGAA
Molecule: long non-coding RNA, 410 nt
Organism: Sapajus apella (tufted capuchin)
Lineage: Eukaryota; Metazoa; Chordata; Mammalia; Primates; Cebidae
Exons: 2
Source: RefSeq, a predicted model, not a curated record